Molecule: ribosomal RNA, 628 nt
Filed under: uncultured Bacteroidota bacterium
Lineage: Bacteria; Pseudomonadati; Bacteroidota
Description: bacterial SSU rRNA
Rfam family: Bacterial small subunit ribosomal RNA
Source: RNAcentral
GGCAGCAUAGGGUAGCAAUACUCUGAUGGUUGACGGCGCACGGGUGAGUAACGCGUAUGCACCUACCCUGUACUGGGGGAUAACCCGGAGAAAUUCGGACUAAUACCCCAUAAUGAUAUUGAGAGGCAUCUCUUAAUAUUUAAAGUUCCGACGGUACGGGCUGGGCAUGCGUAAGAUUAGCUAGUUGGCAGGGUAACGGCCUACCAAGGCUACGAUCUUUAGGGGUCCUGAGAGGGUGAUCCCCCACACUGGUACUGAGACACGGACCAGACUCCUACGGGAGGCAGCAGUGAGGAAUAUUGGUCAAUGGGCGCAAGCCUGAACCAGCCAUCCCGCGUGAAGGAAGAAGGCGCUAUGCGUUGUAAACUUCUUUUCCAGGAGAAUAAAAUUCUGUACGUGUACGGAAUUGAAGGUAUCCUGGGAAUAAGCAUCGGCUAACUCCGUGCCAGCAGCCGCGGUAAUACGGAGGAUGCAAGCGUUAUCCGGAUUUAUUGGGUUUAAAGGGUGCGCAGGCGGAAUAGUAAGUCAGUGGUGAAAACCUGCAGCUUAACUAUAGAAUUGCCGUUGAUACUGUUAUUCUUGAGUAUGGUCAAAGUAAGCGGAAUGUGUAAUGUAGCGGUGAAAUGCU